UGAGCAAUCUGCCCUUCUCUUCGGAAUAAGCGUUGGACACGACGUCUAAUGCCGAAUACGACCUCCUUUCGCAUGAUCGGAGGUGGAAAGCUCCGGCGGAGAAGGAUGAGCUCGCGGCCUAUCAGCUAGUUGCUGUGGGUAAUGGCCCACCAAGGCGACGACGGGUAGCCGGCCUGAGAGGGUGUCCGGCCACACGUGGGACUGAGACACGGCCCAGACUCCGUAGGGAGG
Molecule: ribosomal RNA, 231 nt
Filed under: uncultured bacterium
Lineage: Bacteria
Description: partial 16S ribosomal RNA
Rfam family: Bacterial small subunit ribosomal RNA
Source: RNAcentral